Molecule: transfer RNA, 74 nt
Filed under: Planctomycetota bacterium
Lineage: Bacteria; Pseudomonadati; Planctomycetota
Description: Planctomycetes bacterium (sediment metagenome) tRNA-Val
Rfam family: tRNA
About the family: Transfer RNA (tRNA) molecules are approximately 80 nucleotides in length. Their secondary structure includes four short double-helical elements and three loops (D, anti-codon, and T loops).
Source: RNAcentral
GGGCGAUUAGCUCAGUUGGUCAGAGCGCCACGCUUACACCGUGGAAGUCGGCGGUUCGAGCCCGUCAUCGCCCA